ACUAAAUCAAGUCCCUUCCUUCUCCAUCAUUAUCCCUCUCUUCGCCUUUCCCCACUAAAUCAAGUCCCUUCCUUCUCCAUCAUUAUCCCUCUCUUCGCCUUCCUCACUAUACCAAGUCCUUUUCUUUCUGUUUCUGCUUCACUAUCCUUCUCUUUCCCUUCCUCUUCGUUAUCCCUCUUCGCCUGCCUCUCUUAACCAGGUCCUCUUCCUUCCUACCCUUGAAAGACAGCACGAGUUAACGGGUGGUCGUACACAUAAGGACCAACAACCUGACUGGGAGUGGCUAGGAAGAGGCCAGGAGGGCGGGACGGGCGAGGGCGGGGCGCGGGAGGAGCCAUGAGAGCCUACGGGGCGCCCUUACGGUACUUGGAUACUUUUUGGGACUCGAAGGAGGGUUGUUGUCUGACGUCUACACCCACUUGCUCACACCCAAGCCUACACCCACACCCAGGCCUUGCGGGGUGAAUAUACAAGCCUACACCCACGCCCACGCCCAUGCCUACACACGCCUCUCCUCAAGUGACUCAGCACCCCUAUGAUACUGAUUUUUAUUUUUAUUUUUUAGACAGGAAUAUAAAUUUAAGCUAGAAGAGCAUAGGACCAGGGCAACGUAUCUCUCGUGUGUGUGUGUGUGUGUGUGUGUGUGUGUGUGUGUGUGUGUGUGUGUGUGUGUGUGUGAGAGGGGCGUGGGGAGGGGUCAGAGGGCAGAGCAGAGAUCCGAGCUCACUCAAUUCCCUCCAGGGCCAUAACCAUUCCCCUCUCCCUCCUCCUCCUCCUUCCCCUUCCUCCCCACCGUUCCUCGUCCUUCCCCUUCCCCUUCCUCCCCUGCAACGCCCCACAUCUUCAACUGUUUUUCUUCCUUUUUUUUUUUUUUUUUGCUUCACCUUUCCGUGCUAACAUACACACACACCUCACACACGCCAUUACUUUUUUUCUUCGAUAACUGGACCACACACAAACACACACACACACACACACACACACACACGCACACAUACACAAACACACACAUCUCUCACUGACAAAUAGAAGUCAUAAUUUUUAAACCAUUCUGGGAAGUUACAACACACACACACACACACACACACACACACACACACACACACACACACACGGUAAUCAUGGCAGUAAUCACACCACAGUAAUGGCGCCAUCAGCAGGAUCAUAAGCGGCGAUUUUUGCGGCAGUCUCGCUAGUCUCACCCACGGCAGGUGCGCGCGUGUAAUUACCUGGCUACUAACAGGAAAUUAUUCUCCAAAGUUAUGGCGGACAAAUGAGGAAAACUCCGGGAGGCUGUGGAGGACGCGGAGGAGGCUGCUACAGGAGGAAAAGGAGAAGGAGGAGGAGGAGGCCGAAGGUGUGUGUGUGGGUGGGUGGAGGUGGGGAGAGUGUGGAGAGUAAGAAAAUGAAAAGGGGAAGGUUAAGGGAGAAAGGGGAGAAGGUAGAGGAGGCAUAGGAGUGAGUAAUGAAUGAGGAGAGGAAAAGGAAGGGGUUAAGGAGAAAGAGGAGUAGGAAGAAGAGAAGGAAUAGGAGUGUGUGUGUGUGUGUGUGUGUGUGUGUGUGUGUGUGUGUGUGUGUGUGUGUGUGUGUGUGUGUGUGUGUGUGUGUGUGUGUGUGUGUGUGUGUGUGUGUGGUUCCUUGGUCCUCCUCUCUCUCUCUCCCUCAUCGCCAGCCUUGAGGAAACGAGCCCCAGGAAAAAGCACACCUCAUUAAUUUUGUCUUCUUUCUUCCUCUUUCUCCUGAUGGUGGUGGAGGUGGAGGGAGGUGCCUGCUCUCUCUCUCUCUCUCUCUCUCUCUCUCUCUCUCUCUCUCUCUCUUGGGGCGUGUGUUCAAGUAUUGUUUCAUUCUUUGGGCAACGCGUGAGAGGAAUGGAAGUUGAUUUAUCGGAGUCUCGGGAAGCGCAAGAAAGACACACAGGAAGACUUACGCGACGCCGAACAAGACCGAUGAAACUUUGCCUGGAGAAAAAUGUGACUCGCCCGAUUCUUGGAUAAUUCUUUUACGUAUUAUUUAAAGUUCAGAAAAAUGAUGUAUUGCAAGAGUUGAUAUAUUGAAGGUUUGCAUAUCAUCUAAACGGGCUUGCUUAAGACUUAUUUUGUGUUGACUGUUCUUGAAAAAAUGUUUAUAAUUGAAAGAGUUGAUGCGUUGGAGGUUAGGAAUAAGAGACAACACUACGACGAGCUUCCUUAUGAUCAGUGUUAUCGAGGUUUACUAUAUUUAAGAGUGAGAAGAAUGGGAAAAGGAAGUGUAUGAAAAUAGGGAAUGAAAAAAGGAGGGCGAAAGGGAGUUAGCGAAAAAGGAUGAUGAAAAUGGGUCUAAUAAGGAGUGGUGAUGAGGGUGCGGUGUUAAGGAGAAAGGGGGGUAGGUAAAGGGGUGAGUAAGAAGAGGAAAAGGAAGUUAAAGAGAAAGGGGAGUAGGCAGAAGAGGAAGAGGAGUGAGUAAGGUGAAUGAGAAGAGGACAAGGAAGAGGACAAGGAGAAAGGGGAGUAGGUAGAAGAGGAAGAGGAGUGAGUGAGGUGAAUGAGAAGAGGAAAAGGAAGAGGACAAGGAGAAAGGGGAGUAGGCAGAAGAGGAAAAUAAGUGAGUAAGGACAGUGAGGAGAAGAGGAAGAGGAAAAGAUUAAGAGGAGCAGGUAGAACAGGGAAUAGGAGUACGGAGAUAAGGUGAGGGAGGAAAUUAUACGAUAUGCUGUUGCCUAUUAGUUGGGGGAAGGUGGAAACAAAAAGAGAUAGAGGAGGUGGGCACGCUGUUAUCGGUGAGCCAUGCAGCGUGACUCAGAGACCUCGCUAAACACAUAAUCCAGCGCGCCAUAAACUUUAAACUCGAGGCGAUCACAAGGAACGUAAUCAACACAACAAGGGCGAUAACAUUAAGCCGCGGCGGCGAUGAGACUAAAUUUAGGUAGUGAAUGGAAGGAAAGAAAAAACUCCCGCCAACACCAAGACCACACACACA
Eriocheir sinensis (Chinese mitten crab) is the source of this 2955-nucleotide long non-coding RNA. RefSeq lists it as uncharacterized. Lineage: Eukaryota; Metazoa; Arthropoda; Malacostraca; Decapoda; Varunidae. The transcript is spliced from 2 exons. The record is from RefSeq and is a predicted model, not a curated record.